RNAcentral lists this ribosomal RNA (497 nucleotides) under uncultured bacterium. RNAcentral's name for it is "partial 16S ribosomal RNA". It matches the Rfam family "Bacterial small subunit ribosomal RNA", at positions 27 to 507 of the family's 1533-position model. The record is from RNAcentral.
GGGGGGGGGGGGGGGGGGGGGGGGUGGGGGGGGGGCGGGGGGACGGACGAGAAGCUUGCUUCUCUGAUGUGAGCGGCGGACGGGUGAGUAACACGUGGCUAACCUACCUAUAAGGCUGGGAUAACUUCGGGAAACCGGAGCUAAUACCGGCUAAUAUUUUGAACCGCAUGGUUCAAAAGGGAAAGACGGUCUUGCUGUCACUCAUAGAUGGAUCCGCGCUGCAUUAGCUAGUUGGUAAGGUAACGGCUUACCAAGGCAACGUUGCAUAGCCGACCUGAGAGGGUGAGCGGCCACACUGGAACUGAGACACGGUCCAGACUCCUACGGGAGGCAGCAGUAGGGAAUCUUCCGCAAUGGGCGAAAGCCUGACGGAGCAACGCCGCGUGAGUGAUGAAGGUCUUCGGAUCGUAAAACUCUGUUAUUAGGGAAGAACAUAUGUGUAAGUAACUGUGCACAUCUUGACGGUACCUAAUCAGAAAGCCACGGCUAACUACGUG